UUAAAGGGUUACGCAUAUUCC
This 21-nucleotide small nuclear RNA is filed under the name Arabidopsis thaliana (thale cress). RNAcentral describes it as "snRNA_09553". Lineage: Eukaryota; Viridiplantae; Streptophyta; Magnoliopsida; Brassicales; Brassicaceae. The record is from RNAcentral.